GUACACUCCUGCGGGAGGCAGCAGUGAGGAAUAUUGGACAAUGGGUGGAAGCCUGAUCCAGCCAUCCCGCGUGCAGGAAGACGGCCCUAUGGGUUGUAAACUUCUUUUAUCUGGGGAUAAACCUACUUACGUGUAAGUAGCUGAAGGUACCAGAAGAAUAAGCACCGGCUAACUCCGUGCCAGCAGCCGCGGUAAUACGGAGGGUGCAAGCGUUAUCCGGAUUUAUUGGGUUUAAAGGGUCCGUAGGCGGACUGAUAAGUCAGUGGUGAAAUCCGACAGCUUAACUGUCGAACUGCCAUUGAUACUGUUAGUCUUGAGUAAGGUUGAAGUGGCUGGAAUAAGUAGUGUAGCGGUGAAAUGCAUAGAUAUUACUUAGAACACCAAUUGCGAAGGCAGGUCACUAAGUCUUAACUGACGCUGAUGGACGAAAGCGUGGGGAGCGAACAGGAUUAGAAACCCGAGUAGUCCCAUGAU
RNAcentral lists this ribosomal RNA (474 nucleotides) under uncultured organism. RNAcentral describes it as "partial 16S ribosomal RNA". It matches the Rfam family "Bacterial small subunit ribosomal RNA", at positions 331 to 801 of the family's 1533-position model. The record is from RNAcentral.